GUGAACGCUGGCGGUAGGCCUAACACAUGCAAGUCGCACGGCAGCACAGUAAGAGCUUGCUCUUACGGGUGGCGAGUGGCGGACGGGUGAGGAAUACAUCGGAAUCUACUUUUUCGUGGGGGAUAACGUAGGGAAACUUACGCUAAUACCGCAUACGACCUACGGGUGAAAGCAGGGGAUCUUCGGACCUUGUGCGAUUGAAUGAGCCGAUGUCGGAUUAGCUAGUUGGCGGGGUAAAGGCCCACCAAGGCGACGAUCCGUAGCUGGUCUGAGAGGAUGAUCAGCCACACUGGAACUGAGACACGGUCCAGACUCCUACGGGAGGCAGCAGUGGGGAAUAUUGGACAAUGGGCGCAAGCCUGAUCCAGCCAUACCGCGUGGGUGAAGAAGGCCUUCGGGUUGCAAAGCCCUUUUGUUGGGAAAGAAAAGCAGCAGGUUAAUACCCCGCUGUUCUGACGGUACCCAAAGAAUAAGCACCGGCUAACUUCGUG
RNAcentral lists this ribosomal RNA (491 nucleotides) under uncultured bacterium. RNAcentral describes it as "partial 16S ribosomal RNA". It matches the Rfam family "Bacterial small subunit ribosomal RNA", at positions 29 to 507 of the family's 1533-position model. The record is from RNAcentral.